AGCGAACGUUUGCGGCGGGCCUAACACAUGCAAGUCGAACGGGCUAGCAAUAGUCAGUGGCGCACGGGUGCGUAACACGUGGGUAAUCAACCCUUCAGCUCGGGAUAACGCCUUGAAAGGGGCGCUAAUACCGGAUACGACGCGAGGAGCUUCGGCUGCUUGCGGGAAAGAUUCGCAAGGAUCUCUGAAGGACGAGCCUGCGGCCCAUCAGCUAGUUGGUGAGGUAAGAGCUCACCAAGGCGAAGACGGGUAGCUGGUCUGAGAGGAUGAUCAGCCACACUGGAACUGAGACACGGUCCAGACUCCUACGGGAGGCAGCAGUGGGGAAUAUUGCGCAAUGGGCGAAAGCCUGACGCAGCCACGCCGCGUGAGCGAUGAAGGCCUCGGUCGUAAGACGUCUGUGGGAGGAGACGAAGAAAGACCUGUGAAGAGACAGGACCGUCGACGGUAGUACUCCUUACGUC
This 464-nucleotide ribosomal RNA is filed under the name uncultured bacterium. RNAcentral describes it as "bacterial SSU rRNA". It matches the Rfam family "Bacterial small subunit ribosomal RNA", at positions 29 to 492 of the family's 1533-position model. The record is from RNAcentral.